AGAUUUGUAUUUAAAUUUAUAAAAUCUAUUCUGCAAAUAGAAAUUGCCAAAAGCCUAAUCUU
RNAcentral lists this transfer RNA (62 nucleotides) under Coleolaelaps cf. liui XFX-2019. Its description in RNAcentral is "tRNA-Ala". The record is from RNAcentral. Lineage: Eukaryota; Metazoa; Arthropoda; Arachnida; Mesostigmata; Laelapidae.